UACGAAGGGGGCUAGCGUUGCUCGGAAUCACUGGGCGUAAAGCGCACGUAGGCGGACUCUUAAGUCGGUGGUGAAAUCCUGGAGCUCAACUCCAGAACUGCCUUCGAUACUGAGAGUCUUGAGUCCGGGAGAGGUGUGUGGAACUGCGAGUGUAGAGGUGAAAUUCGUAGAUAUUCGCAAGAACACCAGUGGCGAAGGCGGCUCACUGGCCCGGUACUGACGCUGAGGUGCGAAAGCGUGGGGAGCAAACAGG
This 253-nucleotide ribosomal RNA is filed under the name uncultured bacterium. Its description in RNAcentral is "partial 16S ribosomal RNA". It matches the Rfam family "Bacterial small subunit ribosomal RNA", at positions 524 to 776 of the family's 1533-position model. The record is from RNAcentral.